This 732-nucleotide long non-coding RNA is filed under the name Canis lupus familiaris (dog). RNAcentral's name for it is "lncRNA (ENSCAFG00040002958.1)". Lineage: Eukaryota; Metazoa; Chordata; Mammalia; Carnivora; Canidae. The record is from RNAcentral.
AUGCCUACAGAGGCUGUUACCACCCUCCACGCUAUGCCCUUAGUAGAGAAAAUCUGGCCAGGAAACAUCCCACAUAAUGACCAGGUGCAUUAUGUGUGUAGCCUUUUGCUAGUUCAAAAGAAGGAGAUGUGGCUUCUGCUCCCAAGAAGAGAGACCCGUGAGAGUGAUGUUGGUCAUGUGAGUGUCCAGCGAGCACAGAGCUCUCUCUGGCCUGGGUUCCUUCCUUCCCUCUGCUCUCCUUGGUGUUAUGCCUCUCACUCCCUGAAAUUCUAUGCUGUCUCUCUUCUCCAGGUGCCUGUGGAUCCUUGCUUGGGAGUGAUGCAAGGGGGAAGAAUAGGGAAGGUGCAAAAGUCUAACCACCUCUUAUCCAGCAUCCUCAAGACAGGUCGGGUGGUCUACGCUCCCACCUCCAUCCAGAUAAGGAGGAUUGGUCCUGCUGUGGGCUUUGUGAGUGUGAAUUUGGAGAGGGCCCCAAGAUGCCCUGGAAGAGGCCAUGAUGGCAGAGCUGGUGAAGCUGACCACAGGCAGGAGAAAGACAUUCAGCAGUUAGUGUGGCUCACCUUUGAGAGUUUGAGGUCCAUAGAAGCCGGAAGCACUUUGUUCCAGAAUACAUUCGUCAACUCCAGAGAGACCACACCCUUGGGGCCGGAUGGAGAAGAUGGGACCGUGUUCUCUUGGAGAGCCCGGCUAGUAGGCCGAUUGGCUAGAGUUGAUUCCCAUGAGCAUUGCUGA